RNAcentral lists this ribosomal RNA (675 nucleotides) under Amanita loosei. Its description in RNAcentral is "eukaryotic LSU rRNA". The stretch from base 276 to 429 matches the Rfam family "5.8S ribosomal RNA". Lineage: Eukaryota; Fungi; Basidiomycota; Agaricomycetes; Agaricales; Amanitaceae. The record is from RNAcentral.
UCUUGGUUCAAUUAGAGGAAGUAAAAGUCGUAACAAGGUUUCCGUAGGUGAACCUGCGGAAGGAUCAUUAUUGGAUUGAAACCUCGGCAGGUGGCUGUUGCUGGCUCUCUCUUUAUAAGGGGGAGAAUGUGCACGCCUUCUUGCUUGUUUCCUCCUUUAUCACUUGUGCACUAUUUUGUAGACUCUAAUGUCUAUGUAGUCUUAUCACAAAUACAAUGUUAAGAAUGUAUUCAUACAAAGGUGCCUUUUUGUUGCGCCUUAUAAAAAUAUAAUACAACUUUCAACAAUGGAUCUCUUGGCUCUUGCAUCGAUGAAGAACGCAGCGAAAUGCGAUAAGUAAUGUGAAUUGCAGAAUUCAGUGAAUCAUCGAAUCUUUGAACGCAUCUUGCGCUCCUUGGUAUUCCAAGAAGCAUGCCUGUUUGAGUGUCAUUAAUCUCUCAAAAUGCUUUACUUUUUCAAGCAAAGUGUUUUUGGAUUUUGGGAGUUACUGCUGGCUUGUCAGCUCUCCUUAAAAGCAUUAGAGCCCUUCUCCUAUUAACUGGUAUGAUAAUUAUCUAUGCCUGAGAAAGUGAGAAGCAAGCCUCUAAUCGGUCCUGUCCAUCAGGACAAUACUUUUUGAUGUUGACCUCAAAUCAGGUAGGAUUACCCGCUGAACUUAAGCAUAUCAAAGCCGCG